Molecule: ribosomal RNA, 254 nt
Filed under: uncultured bacterium
Lineage: Bacteria
Description: partial 16S ribosomal RNA
Rfam family: Bacterial small subunit ribosomal RNA
Source: RNAcentral
UACGUAGGCAGCAAGCGUUGUUCGGAGUUACUGGGCGUAAAGGGUGCGUAGGCGGUCCUAUAAGUAUGGUGUGAAAUCUCCCGGCUUAACUGGGAGGGUGCGCUAUAGACUGUGGGACUAGAGUGUGGGGAGAGGAAAGUGGAAUUCCUGGUGUAGCGGUGAAAUGCGUAGAUAUCAGGAGGAACACCGGUGGUGUAAACGGCUUUCUGGACCAUAACUGACGCUGAGGCACGAAAGCGUGGGUAGCAAACAGG